RNA transcript from Capra hircus (goat), 2446 nucleotides. RefSeq lists it as uncharacterized. The record is from RefSeq and is a predicted model, not a curated record. NCBI's taxonomy places the organism in Eukaryota, Metazoa, Chordata, Mammalia, Artiodactyla, Bovidae. The transcript has 2 exons.
CCUUCCCGCGUGCUCCCAUCCCCGCACCCACGCGCCGGCCGCCGAGCGAGCGGCGUCUGCGACCCCGGGUUUUAAGGGUCCUUUGGGCUCCUUGGGGCCACGAGGUCGGGGGAGGCAGCGGCGCCGCCCCCGGAGGUUCCUCUGAGAUAACCGGCCCUUGUGCUUGAGAUCCGGGGACCGAGGAGGGCACAGGCCUGGGCGGGGCAGCUCCCCCGGAACCGGGGCGGUGGAAGUGGUCCCUGGGAAGCGGCCAGGUAUGUGGCCGAAGUCGGUGUAAAUCCGACCUCCCCCACCCCACCCCCAGCCCCAGCGAGCGACCUGUGCUUCGUUCCAGAACUCCCGAGGGGUCCUGGCACUCGAGGGUCAGGAGGGCUCUCCAGGGUGGGAGGUCGCCAGGCCCCAAGGUCAAGGUGCUCCGGUCAUGGGCAAGGAAGGAGGCUGACCCUGGGAGACCGUGAUGUCUGGAGCAGGGGUAUCCUGGCAGUGGGAAUGCUGGCAGGUGGCCUUGAAGACGGGCAGUGCCCCUGUCUUCACAGGUGAAAAGCACGCUGAGCAGGACAGCAGUGGGCUGGUGAAACGCGAGGAACCGUGCUGAGCGCAGCUGGCCUCCAACAUCCUGCACAUCCACAAGCCAGUGAGAAAGUGUGGGUGGGUUUGAUAAGCGUCGAUAGGGGAACUGGGCAUCUAGCCACAGAACAGAUGGUUUUAAAUUCGUGCUUGGUACUCACCUGUGAGAUUACCUCCCAAAUUGGGUUAAUUAGAACAUUUAGGGGAAAUGGGAAAACAGGGUUAAACGAACAUUCAGCAAGUCUCAGAGAACUUUCCUGAACACAGACAAAACCACUCACGAGGGAAAGCCCGGACCCCCAGACCUGGGCACGUGUCUGGCCCGCACACCCCUCUGGCUCUCUCAGUUAACAGGAUGGGGCCCCUGAGGCGACUCCUCCAGCCCCUGCUGUCCGAGACCAGGGUUCUCCUUCCCGCCCCGCGCCCCAGCCCAGGGUCACCUGCCCCUCUCCAGCCCAGCAAGCUGCGCAGUGAGCGUGAGAACGGAAAUCGGAUUCCGCCAUACCCUGCUCAGAGCCCUGCUGGCUUCUCAUCGCACGGGGUGGGUCAGAGAGCCCCGGCCGCCCCCUGCCUCUCCCCCAGCCUUCCUUCCGCGCCUGCCUCGUGCUCCAUCCUGGCGUCCUCCUCCCCACUGCCGCAUCUGCUGUUUCUGAUGCCUUCCAGUUGCCCGCUUCCCGUGGUCGGUUUCUCCUCCAUGCCCCAUGCCUGCUGUUGAACUCAGCUUUGUCUGAGCCUCCUUCCCGCUGCCCUGUGAGUGCCCUGAGGACAGGGUGUUUGCACCCCUGCCCUUCUGCAUUCGAGGUGGGAGACCGCUGGAUGGAGGCGUGGGAGGAACUGACCAGCUCUCCACACAUGCCUGUCCCACACGUAUUCCCUGCAUCCUCAGGACCAGUCCAGGGCACCCAGGCUGCAGGCUCCCGCCUCUGAUGCGCCAACGCCCCUGACCCCUCCCUACCUUCGAGCAUGGCCCUAAGGAUCCGGAAUCACCUGCAGAGAACUGCCCUGCAGACCAAGGCCGGGGUGGCGGGCAAGGAGGCCGGUAGAAGCUCACCCCUGUCUCCCCACAGCACAGGGCAAGCCUGGACCUAGGACAGAGCACCCACCCACCCGACCAGCUCUGCUGGCACCUCCUGGUGAAGCCCCGUCCCGGGAGGACUCACCCCCUGGAAGGGGGGCCUGGGAGGAGCCCCAGCCCUUCAGCUGGGCCUGCGUGUGCACCCAGAGUACGUCCUGGGGCUUCAGCUCUGCCUCCCUAACUGAGCCCUCUGCAGAGAUGGGCCCAAGGAGACUGGAAUGUGUUGGUUCUUUCGGGAAGAGACCAGAUCCCCCCACCAGGUCUCCAGAGGGGCUGCCCCUGCAGUCCGGGCUUCUUAAGGAAUGCUAGAAUUUUUCUAACGCCUAAAGUUAAUAUUUUACUUUCUGUGAACAAGAAAAGGUACUGUCUCUGAGUCACUCUGAAUGUUGUUCAGAUCCUGCAGAAUUUUUAAAAUAGUGGGCAGCGUGGACACCAGCCAUGUGCCCCGUGUCCAUCACUGCUGUGGGCUAUCCACUCUCCCUGGGCUCAGCAGGCACAUCAUGGGUGCCCCCCAGGAAAGCUGUUUCCCUGGCAGGCCUGAAAGGCAGCCUCAGAAGCAGCUUCUGGCUGAACAGGAGUGGCUCUGGCUGCCCUCGCUGGCAUCAGGGCACACGGGCCGCUCCCCACUUUCACCACCACUGAGAUGGUUAUCCGGCAUUUCUGGCCCAUCCGUGUCCUUCUACCUGAGUCCUGUGGAAAGCUGCUGCCGUCCGGAGUGGAACACGGACCCCAGGGCUUACAGCCUUGAUGUACUCCUUUUCCUAUUUGGAACCAGUCUGUUGUUCCAUGUCCAUUUCUAACUGU